This 224-nucleotide ribosomal RNA is filed under the name uncultured eukaryote. RNAcentral describes it as "partial large subunit ribosomal RNA". It matches the Rfam family "Bacterial large subunit ribosomal RNA", at positions 2190 to 2413 of the family's 2925-position model. The record is from RNAcentral.
UGGUGAGAUACCACUCUAACAAUGCUAGGAUUCUAACCCUAUACCGUNAUCCGGUUAGGGGACAGUUUCAGGUGGUCAGUUUGACUGGGGCGGUCGCCUCCCAAAAGGUAACGGAGGCGUGCAAAGGUUUCCUCAGGCUGGUCGGAAAUCAGUCGUAGAGUGUAAAGGCAUAAGGAAGCUUGAUUGUGAGACUUACAAGUCGAACAAAGACGAAAGUCGGCCUU